CCGCUGGGCGCUGGGCCGCGGACCCCGUCAUCCACUCGACUGUGGGCGCCGACGGUCUGCGUCAAGCUUAUUGCUGUGCAAAUGAUACUAUUCUGCUUUCCUCCAGACCUCGCACCCAGAGAUUUUUAGGCAAGAGCCCCUCUGGACCACC
RNAcentral lists this long non-coding RNA (151 nucleotides) under Ictidomys tridecemlineatus (thirteen-lined ground squirrel). RNAcentral's name for it is "lncRNA (ENSSTOG00000029418.1)". Lineage: Eukaryota; Metazoa; Chordata; Mammalia; Rodentia; Sciuridae. The record is from RNAcentral.